Agrilus planipennis (emerald ash borer) is the source of this 160-nucleotide long non-coding RNA. RefSeq lists it as uncharacterized. The record is from RefSeq and is a predicted model, not a curated record. The transcript has 2 exons. Lineage: Eukaryota; Metazoa; Arthropoda; Insecta; Coleoptera; Buprestidae.
AUAAAGAUUCAUCUAGUGAAAAAAUAUGGAAGGAUACUUUCAGUUUAAAAAAGACAUCCACAGGAAAAGUAGAAAAAGCUCAAAAGGAUAAACUGAUUAAAAGGAACUCUAAGAAGAAAUUGAGAGCGAAGUUCAAAAACAAAGAUUCUAGUAUAAAAAA